This is a long non-coding RNA of Ipomoea nil (Japanese morning glory), 115 nucleotides long. RefSeq lists it as uncharacterized. Lineage: Eukaryota; Viridiplantae; Streptophyta; Magnoliopsida; Solanales; Convolvulaceae. The record is from RefSeq and is a predicted model, not a curated record. The transcript is spliced from 3 exons.
CAAGAUGAAGAACUGCUGAUAUCUAUGACUUUGAUGAUGAAAAGGAUGAAAAUAAGGUUGAUUUUAAGAAGAUUGCCAGUGAAAAUUGGAUUGAGCCACCAAGAAGAAGCGAAAG